UUCCAGCUCCAAUAGCGUAUAUUAAAGUUGUUGCAGUUAAAAAGCUCGUAGUUGAAUUUUGGACCUGGUUGAAUGGUCCCGCCGCAAGGUGGGUACUGUUUGAUUGGGUCUUUCUUUGCGGGGAAUUAGUGUGCUCUUAAUUGGGUGCAUUGAGGAUCCGUGACUUUUACUUUGAAAAAAUUAGAGUGUUUAAAGCGGGCUUAGGCCUGAAUACAUUAGCAUGGAAUAAUAGAAUAGGACCUGUGUUCUAUUUUGUUGGUUUCUAGGACGUAGGUAAUGAUUAAUAGGGACAGUUGGGGGCAUUAGUAUUUAAGUGUCAGAGGUGAAAUUCUUGGAUUGCUUAAAGACUAACUUCUGCGAAAGCAUUUGCCAAGGAUGUUUUCAUCG
RNAcentral lists this ribosomal RNA (387 nucleotides) under Chytridiomycetes sp. Its description in RNAcentral is "partial small subunit ribosomal RNA". It matches the Rfam family "Eukaryotic small subunit ribosomal RNA", at positions 583 to 975 of the family's 1831-position model. The record is from RNAcentral. Lineage: Eukaryota; Fungi; Chytridiomycota; Chytridiomycetes.